UACGUAGGGUGCGAGCGUUAAUCGGAAUUACUGGGCGUAAAGCGUGCGCAGGCGGUUUUGUAAGUCAGAUGUGAAAUCCCCGGGCUUAACCUGGGAACUGCGUUUGAAACUACAAGGCUAGAGUGUAGCAGAGGGGGGUGGAAUUCCACGUGUAGCAGUGAAAUGCGUAGAGAUGUGGAGGAACAUCAGUGGCGAAGGCGGCUUCCUGGCUUAAAACUGACACUGUGGCGCGAAAGCGUGGGUAGCAAACAGG
This 253-nucleotide ribosomal RNA is filed under the name uncultured bacterium. RNAcentral describes it as "partial 16S ribosomal RNA". It matches the Rfam family "Bacterial small subunit ribosomal RNA", at positions 524 to 776 of the family's 1533-position model. The record is from RNAcentral.